This 60-nucleotide non-coding RNA is filed under the name human gut metagenome. RNAcentral describes it as "Actino-pnp RNA". It matches the Rfam family "Actino-pnp RNA". The record is from RNAcentral.
CCGGUCCUCGGUAGUGGCUUCCGGAGCACAUAUGUUCCGUGGGCCUCGAUCGAUGACCGU